Molecule: signal recognition particle RNA, 265 nt
Filed under: Candidatus Zixiibacteriota bacterium
Lineage: Bacteria; Pseudomonadati; Candidatus Zixiibacteriota
Description: candidate division Zixibacteria bacterium signal recognition particle sRNA large type
Rfam family: Bacterial large signal recognition particle RNA
About the family: The signal recognition particle (SRP) is a universally conserved ribonucleoprotein involved in the co-translational targeting of proteins to membranes. Archaeal SRP consists of a 7S RNA and homologues of the eukaryotic SRP19 and SRP54 proteins.
Source: RNAcentral
GUGUGCUAGAUGGGGAGUUAGCGGUGCCCUGUUACCCGGAACCCGCUCUACCGGGGUCGAAUUCCCACCGGAGGGCGCGGCAAGCGGGACGGUCGAGCGGUAAGCGGUGUUGACGGUCGGGCCCGAUACAACAUAAGCCUUUUGAACCCCGUCAGGACCGGGAGGUAGCAGCGGUAGAAAGUGUCUUGUGUGUGUUGUCGGAUCUCCCGACCUGAGCCGGCUGCCGUAAGAACGUUCCGUGAGCGGCUCGAUGGUGGGUGCACAC